CAGUCGCCACGGGAAUACAGAGGGUGCGAGCGUUAAUCGGAUUUACUGGGCGUAAAGCGUGCGUAGGCGGCUUCUUAAGUCGGAUGUGAAAUCCCUGAGCUUAACUUAGGAAUUGCAUUCGAUACUGGGAAGCUAGAGUAUGGGAGAGGAUGGUAGAAUUCCAGGUGUAGCGGUGAAAUGCGUAGAGAUCUGGAGGAAUACCGAUGGCGAAGGCAGCCAUCUGGCCUAAUACUGACGCUGAGGUACGAAAGCAUGGGGAGCAAACAGGAUUAGAGACCCCUGUAGUCCCUGUCUCUUAUAC
RNAcentral lists this ribosomal RNA (301 nucleotides) under uncultured bacterium. RNAcentral's name for it is "partial 16S ribosomal RNA". It matches the Rfam family "Bacterial small subunit ribosomal RNA", at positions 509 to 807 of the family's 1533-position model. The record is from RNAcentral.